UCGAACGGCAGCACGGGUGCUUGCACCUGGUGGCGAGUGGCGAACGGGUGAGUAAUACAUCGGAACAUGUCCUGUAGUGGGGGAUAGCCCGGCGAAAGCCGGAUUAAUACCGCAUACGAUCUACGGAUGAAAGCGGGGGACCCUCGGGCCUCGCGCUAUAGGGUUGGCCGAUGGCUGAUUAGCUAGUUGGUGGGGUAAAGGCCUACCAAGGCGACGAUCAGUAGCUGGUCUGAGAGGACGACCAGCCACACUGGGACUGAGACACGACCCAGACUCCUACGGGAGGCAGCAGUGGGGAAUUUUGGACAAUGGGCGAAAGCCUGAUCCAGCAAUGCCGCGUGUGUGAAGAAGGCCUUCGGGUUGUAAAGCACUUUUGUCCGGAAAGAAAUCCUUGGUUCUAAUAUAGCCGGGGGAUGACGGUACCGGAAGAAUAAGCACCGGCUAACUACGUGCCAGCAGCCGCGGUAAUACGUAGGGUGCGAGCGUUAAUCGGAAUUACUGGGCGUAAAGCGUGCGCAGGCGGUUUGCUAAGACCGAUGUGAAAUCCCCGGGCUCAACCUGGGAACUGCAUUGGUGACUGGCAGGCUAGAGUAUGGCAGAGGGGGGUAGAAUUCCACGUGUAGCAGUGAAAUGCGUAGAGAUGUGGAGGAAUACCGAUGGCGAAGG
Molecule: ribosomal RNA, 666 nt
Filed under: uncultured beta proteobacterium
Lineage: Bacteria; Pseudomonadati; Pseudomonadota; Betaproteobacteria
Description: bacterial SSU rRNA
Rfam family: Bacterial small subunit ribosomal RNA
Source: RNAcentral